This 628-nucleotide ribosomal RNA is filed under the name Bacillus subtilis. Its description in RNAcentral is "bacterial SSU rRNA". It matches the Rfam family "Bacterial small subunit ribosomal RNA", at positions 550 to 1179 of the family's 1533-position model. Lineage: Bacteria; Bacillati; Bacillota; Bacilli; Caryophanales; Bacillaceae. The record is from RNAcentral.
AUUAUUGGGCGUAAGGGCUCGCAGGCGGUUUCUUAAGUCUGAUGUGAAAGCCCCCGGCUCAACCGGGGAGGGUCAUUGGAAACUGGGGAACUUGAGUGCAGAAGAGGAGAGUGGAAUUCCACGUGUAGCGGUGAAAUGCGUAGAGAUGUGGAGGAACACCAGUGGCGAAGGCGACUCUCUGGUCUGUAACUGACGCUGAGGAGCGAAAGCGUGGGGAGCGAACAGGAUUAGAUACCCUGGUAGUCCACGCCGUAAACGAUGAGUGCUAAGUGUUAGGGGGUUUCCGCCCCUUAGUGCUGCAGCUAACGCAUUAAGCACUCCGCCUGGGGAGUACGGUCGCAAGACUGAAACUCAAAGGAAUUGACGGGGGCCCGCACAAGCGGUGGAGCAUGUGGUUUAAUUCGAAGCAACGCGAAGAACCUUACCAGGUCUUGACAUCCUCUGACAAUCCUAGAGAUAGGACGUCCCCUUCGGGGGCAGAGUGACAGGUGGUGCAUGGUUGUCGUCAGCUCGUGUCGUGAGAUGUUGGGUUAAGUCCCGCAACGAGCGCAACCCUUGAUCUUACUUGCCAGCAUUCAGUUGGGCACUCUAAGGUGACUGCCGGUGACAAACCGGAGGAAGGUGGGGA